Molecule: ribosomal RNA, 207 nt
Filed under: uncultured Treponema sp.
Lineage: Bacteria; Pseudomonadati; Spirochaetota; Spirochaetia; Treponematales; Treponemataceae
Description: partial 16S ribosomal RNA
Rfam family: Bacterial small subunit ribosomal RNA
Source: RNAcentral
CAUGUAGGCGGUUUUGUAAGCCUGGUGUGAAAUCCUGCAGCUUAACUGUAGAAUUGCAUUGGGUACUGCAAGACUUGAAUCACAGAGGGGAAACUAGAAUUCCAGGUGUAGGGGUGGAAUCUGUAGAUAUCUGGAAGAAUACCGGUGGCGAAGGCGGGUUUCUAGCUGAUGAUUGACGCUGAGGUGCGAAAGUGCGGGGAGCAAACA